Molecule: small nuclear RNA, 95 nt
Filed under: Acanthisitta chloris (rifleman)
Lineage: Eukaryota; Metazoa; Chordata; Aves; Passeriformes; Acanthisittidae
Source: RNAcentral
GUAUAUUUCAUUGCAGUAGCACAUAUACUAAAAUUGAAAUGAUGCAGAGAAGAUUAGCAUGGCCCCUGUGCAGAGAUGACACGCAAAAUUUUUUU